RNAcentral lists this ribosomal RNA (470 nucleotides) under uncultured bacterium. RNAcentral describes it as "bacterial SSU rRNA". It matches the Rfam family "Bacterial small subunit ribosomal RNA", at positions 8 to 526 of the family's 1533-position model. The record is from RNAcentral.
AGAGUUUGAUCCUGGCUCAGAACGAACGCUGGCGGCAGGCCUAACACAUGCAAGUCGAACGCCCCGCAAGGGGAGUGGCAGACGGGUGAGUAACACGUGGGAACCUUCCCUAUAGUACGGAAUAGCCCAGGGAAACCUGGAGUAAUACCGUAUACGCCCGAAAGGGGAAAGAUUUAUCGCUAUAGGAUGGGCCCGCGUAGGAUUAGCUAGUUGGUGAGGUAAUGGCUCACCAAGGCGACGAUCCUUAGCUGGUUUGAGAGAACGACCAGCCACACUGGGACUGAGACACGGCCCAGACUCCUACGGGAGGCAGCAGUGGGGAAUAUUGGACAAUGGGCGCAAGCCUGAUCCAGCCAUGCCGCGUGAGUGAUGAAGGCCUUAGGGUUGUAAAGCUCUUUUGCCGGGGACGAUAAUGACGGUACCCGGAGAAUAAGUCCCGGCUAACUUCGUGCCAGCAGCCGCGGUAAUAC